Molecule: ribosomal RNA, 375 nt
Filed under: uncultured organism
Description: partial 16S ribosomal RNA
Rfam family: Bacterial small subunit ribosomal RNA
Source: RNAcentral
GUAGGUGGCAAGCGUUAUCCGGAAUUACUGGGCGUAAAGCGUACGUAGGCGGUUCGUUAAGUCUGUCGUGAAAUCUUCCGGCUCAACCGGAAGGGGUCGAUGGAAACUGCCGGACUUGAGGGGCGUAGAAGCGAGCGGAAUUCCCGGUGUAGUGGUGAAAUGCGUAGAUAUCGGGAGGAACACCAGUGGCGAAAGCGGCUCGCUAGGCGCUACCUGACGCUGAGGUACGAAAGCGUGGGGAGCGAACCGGAUUAGAUACCCGGGGGUAGUCCACGCCGUAAACGAUGGAUGCUAGACGUGGGGAGUAUCGACCCCUUUCUGUGUCGUCGCUAACCGCAUUAAGCAUCCCGCCUGGGGAGUACGGCCGCAAGGCUA